RNAcentral lists this ribosomal RNA (253 nucleotides) under uncultured bacterium. RNAcentral's name for it is "partial 16S ribosomal RNA". It matches the Rfam family "Bacterial small subunit ribosomal RNA", at positions 524 to 776 of the family's 1533-position model. The record is from RNAcentral.
UACAGAGGGGGCAAGCGUUGUUCGGAAUUACUGGGCGUAAAGGGCGCGUAGGCGGCCUGUUAAGUCGAACGUGAAAUCCCCAGGCUUAACCUGGGAACUGCGUGUGAUACUGGAUGGCUUGAAUCCGGGAGAGGGAUGCGGAAUUCCAGGUGUAGCGGUGAAAUGCGUAGAUAUCUGGAGGAACACCGGUGGCGAAGGCGGCAUCCUGGACCGGUAUUGACACUGAAAAGCGAAAGCCAGGGGAGCAAACGGG